GACGAACGCUGGCGGCGUGCUUAACACAUGCAAGUCGAACGGAAAGGCCCUGCUUGCCGGGUACUCGAGUGGCGAACGGGUGAGUAACACGUGGGUGAUCUGCCCUGCACUUCGGGAUAAGCCUGGGAAACUGGGUCUAAUACCGGAUAUGACCUUCCAUGUAGUGUGGGGGGUGGAAAGAUUUAUCGGUGUGGGAUGAGCCCGCGGCCUAUCAGCUUGUUGGUGGGGUAGUGGCCUACCAAGGCGUCGACGGGUAGCCGGCCUGAGAGGGUGGACGGCCACAUUGGGACUGAGAUACGGCCCAGACUCCUACGGGAGGCAGCAGUGGGGAAUAUUGCACAAUGGGCGGAAGCCUGAUGCAGCGACGCCGCGUGGGGGAUGACGGCCUUCGGGUUGUAAACCUCUUUCGACAGGGACGAAGCUUCGGUGACGGUACCUGUAUAAGAAGCACCGGCUAACUACGUG
Molecule: ribosomal RNA, 465 nt
Filed under: uncultured bacterium
Lineage: Bacteria
Description: partial 16S ribosomal RNA
Rfam family: Bacterial small subunit ribosomal RNA
Source: RNAcentral